ACCUUGUCACCCGUUUUAUAAAAGCUAGAGAUGCUUAGUCUUGCUGAUAGAUUAAGAAACAUAUUUUUGAUCUAUGACUCAUGUUUUUACAAAAAAAGAAAAUGGGCUUGGGAUAAUGAAAGCAUCAAGACGUUGAUAAAUUCAUUAUCCAGGCAUGGCCCCUCUGUCAGGCGCCAAAUUUUUGAAAUAGUUUAAAAUGGGACCAGACGUUGAGCAGGAAAGGUCGCCCGUCUGUGUCGAUUAAGGACCAUACCGAUUGUUGGCCUGAUGAUCUAGGACCUUUUAACUGGCCACAUACCUCGUCAUGGGUAAGCCUGAACCCGGCUAUUCCAUACGUGAAAAGACAACCGCGCACUGGGCGUGGGAGAUGGUGGGAGUAGCAGUUACCCUCCUGGCAAGAGGCUGGAUGGUAGGGUAAUGUGCUCCCGGGUAGCGCGGACCGGUUCAUGUAGUGGAGGAUCCGUGGGAAUGAUUGACAUAUGCAAGGGUCAAGUGCUACAUAUGUCGUGUGGUUGGAGAUCCCCAGCUGGGUAUUAAUCGAUUCGGAUCGCCGUUACUUCUCGGAUAUAAGACUGGAUCGCUGCCCUUCAUCGUAGAUAACAAGCGAAACAAAAAUUUGAUUUUAAAAGAAAGUUAGUGUAGGAUAAGUGAAUGCUCUAGAUUAGGUAAAUCUAGAUUCAGGAAAAGUAUUUAACUUGUGAUGUAAAACUUUGGCAUAAGGAUCCACUACUAGUAAGCUUUUCUGCAAAAAUGAGUCUUUGAAAUUUGAUAAGCUUUACCUUGAUUCCCGACAAACCAACAUAUCCUUGAGAGUCUUUUCUUUAGUCGGGUAAGUCUUGCUGAGUAAUUCCAUACUCAGGGUUUUAUUCCCUGUUGUUUUUCAGGUUGUAAUUUUGUUCUGUUGUGGAUGGUGCUAAGUGCCGGUGGGCUCGGCUUUCUUAUAUAAGUAUAUCCCUUCUAUAGUUUAUUUAAUGAGGAUUGUCACUUAAGCUAGCAUGUAUUUUCAAAUUUACGAAUACUUUAUAACAUUUCAAAUUGUAAUUCUUUUGAAUCACUUUCUUUUGUAAUCUUUUGUAAUCACUCCGAUGAGGUAUAAUAAUAUCUUGAUAAACUUGUAAUCAUUUUGUAAUAAAGAAUUUAUUUCCGCUGCAAGUGUUUGUAUGUGAGUUGUGUUUAUUUAAUCCUGCGAUCUUGGCGGUAAGUGGUUUAUCUGGGGUCCUUGGGACACUCGGACAGAUCCUGUUAAGUUGUUUGGUGCACAUGCAUACCCGUUUGAGGUCCUUGGGACAAGGACAGAUGCAUGUGGGCCCAAUAACUUGGGAGGUUCUGCCACAGCUGGUAUCGGAGCAUGAUUAAGUAUAUACGAUCACAUACGUAUUUUCAAAACAAAAGUUUUGGUUUCGAAAAACCUAUUUUCAACUAAACACAUUGUUUGGCUUUGAAAACAGUUUUGAAAAACUAUAAUGCUAGCGACAUCCUCUGUUAAGCCCUAAAUUAAGGUCUAUUAGGUGGCUUAUUUAAAAACCACUAACCCACAACCGGGUAUUGCAUACAUGUGUAUUGUUAUUUUUGAGGCCAUUCAGUUUUGAAUGGAUCGACGCUCAGGUAAGGUGAGAUGUGAGAGCAUGACCGAACAAACGUCGGUCUAGGGGAGAGUAUAAAAAGCGCUUGAUUAUAUACAUGUUACACAUAUGUAUAUAUGAAGGCUGCGAUGUGGAGUAAUUAUUUUUCUGGGGAUUCAGUACCCCAUGGAUGUGUAUGGGCAUACAGACAUGGGACUACUGAGAAAUGUAAUGUACUCGCAACGACGCACCUACGCUCAGGUAAGAAGGUGAGUUACCAUAAUGGGCUGCCCUGUGGUUAAAGUGUGGCAGCGGCGCCUAUGCGUGGCUCGGCGCUUAAUGAGGAGCUGGCCUCCAUAUAGAAAUAUAUGGAGUAUAAACUGUGAUAAACUGUCAUGUGUGAAUUGCAUCAUUGGGAAAUGGGUUGUGAUGAAAUUUUCUGCAGGUACACUAAUUUUGAAACGUAUGUGUAGCUGACGACUAGCAAUAUACCGAGAGAGAACGUAGAUAUGCCACCGAUAUAGAACGCUAUUGCCACAUUAUGUUGGCGAAAUUCGUGAGGACGAAUAGGACGAGCAUGCAUCCUGAUUCCCGCAUUAUGUUUGUUGUUUGCGCACAAAAAUGCUUUUCUCACCUUUAUUCUAAUAAUUGGUGAUUGUGAACGAACGUGCUUCCCUCAUCUUUAUUCCGAUAAUAAAUAAUUGGAAAAUGUGUGAAGCAUGACUAUCCUAUAAGCAAUUUCUAGCUUUGUUUGUUGUGUCCUUUAGAUAUGUGUUUAUGUGGCCUGUGGUUCUUCUUAAUUUGACCACUAGUCCAACUUGUGUUUGUUUUAGUGUGUUUGUGCCGGUAGAAUGUUGGUAGCUUGUUGACGUAAACCCAAAACUAGGCUAUGUCCUUGUUCAGUAAACCUUGAUCUAAACGUGUAUUAAUUUCUUGACAACCUGUCCUAGGUGUCGUCUUGUGUGAAGAUCAUUUUCUUCACAAGAUUAUUGGAGUUCUAGUAAUUAGACCAAGUCAUGUCCUCAUCAUUUCAACAUUUGAAAUUGUAUGAGAUCUAAUUCAUAAUUUUGUCAUUUCUUCAAAGUCGCUCUAAAUCUUCAAAACAUGCAUGAGUUUGAAUUAUCGAUUCCUACUCCAUGGCCAAACUCGUGCAAAUAGAUGUUUAGGUAAUCCCCUUAUUAGACCUAAGAUGCACUCAAACUUAAAAACAAGGAUCUCGAUUCUGUGAUCUUAACAAUCCACUUCUGGCUCUCUUAUGGUCAUAAUUUCAUCCUAAAACAUAUCCUUGUUUGGUUGAUGCAAGCUGGUAUCCCUAUUCCAGUUUGCCUCUGCUUGAGGAUCACAUUGUCGGUUUCUCAAUCUAACCUGGGGAAGGCAUGUCUGAUCCUUUCCUUGAACUUGAUGCCUUUGGUUUUCUCAUAUCUCUCGAAGGCAUACCAAUUUAAUCUUCCGAUUGUUUUCCUGCAUAUCUAAUCAGACGCUCAUCCUUGACCUUGAAAUUGUUGUGAUGGGCAUAGAAAUAUGCUUGGGGCUGAAAUAACAGUCUCCCAUUGUACUCAUUCAUCAACAAGUUUAGGUUAUGGCCAUGUCUUGUUCGUUUCAUCGGUCCAUGAUCUAUUUGGCUCUCUACUUGUAACCAUUCUUACAGGUGGAGUCUAUUUUGUAUAUUGUCAUCCUGGCUUAGUAUAUUUGUUACCGCGUGAGAUUUCUUAUUGGUUACGUCUAGUAAUGGUGUUAUGACUAAAAUUGACGGUGCCGCGACGAAACCGAGGGCCUCCUGUGGGUGAUCAACACAUGGUUGCGCUACUUGGCACGCGCAGGUAUCACAGUUAGUAGUCAUAAUCCAUUAUGAGAUUAUAUCGAUAUGUUAUCUUUGCGCAAAUUGUUCUUACCAUGUGAGAUUCAUUAUCAGUGCUAGUUCGAUGAUGGUGUCCCAGUUAAUGACUUAUGGUGCCGCGUAAAGCCGAAAGUCUCAUGUGGCGGCCGACACAUGGUAGUGUUGUUCGGUACGCUGGUAUCGAAGUCUCUGGCUAUGAUCCAUUAUGGAACUACACUAACAUGUUAUCUUCCGUAGACUACUUCCUUGAAAUAAUUUCUAUGUUGUUUGUCAGAAUGAUCAAGCCACAUAUGCCAUCACUAUUGGACCAAAAGAGUAUAUAACUCUGAUGUAUUCCUUAAGUAAAGUUCUUACCAGUUAAGAAGUUUUCAUCGAAAAUCGAAACCUAUCCGUGUCUAAUCGUGUGAUAAAAUCACCCUUUUCAUGUGGGGACUCCUUUCUCUUGAUCUUAGUGGUAACUACACACAUGGAACCUUGCAUCGAUAGUGUGAUACAUGCUAUAUUCCCUGGAGAAACCAACAUCUUGGAGUACUCAUCUCUACUUGGAGCUGCCUUAUGCUAUCGCUAUUAUGGACAAGGUUAUACGCCUCUCUACUCUUAGAAGUCUUUCAUUCCGAAUCUCGGGACGAGAUUCUUUUAAGGGGGGAAGGUUGUAACACCCCAGGUGUUAUCUCCCGUAAACAACGAUUAUGGACAUAAUCAAGAAAGGCCGGGGUGAAUAACGAUUUCGAUAUUAGCCCUGUCUCCGAUUACCAAGAUUAUUCGAGAAAUCUCGUUUAGCUUGGAAUUUAAUCAUCUCACAAAAGUUCGAGUUUGGUGCCGUUUUUAUUUCGAUAAUCUACGCAAUUAAAAAGGGUUCAUGAAACUUUUGGAUUAUCGAAUCUUCGUUUGCUGGCGAAUUUUGAACUGUUCGGAUCACGCGCGUAAGUGAACGAAAAUCAGAAGACUUCUGAUUUUAUGUAAAAUUUGGAGCCCCGUGCUGUCCGAACAGAUCGAUGCGCCAGCUGAUUAAGUAAAUCGUACCUCUCAGCAAGUUACCCUUGGCGUCAAAUCAAAUGAUCGAUAGCUGGUGAGUAUCAUAAAAAUUAGGCAGGACUAAAUAUAGUCUAAAAUACCGAAGUCAAUUUCUUUUGGUUCGAUCUGUUUGCUUCUCACCCUGAUCCAAAUGUUUAGAUAGUGAGCAAAUUUCAUCUGAUUUCAGAUUAAUUAAGCACCGUCUGAACUACUGUGGUCGAUAGAGUUUAAAUCCGAUCAAUUUAAAUUUGUCUCAAAACUCUAACUAUGGAACUCGGAUAUAUGCACACGUUUUAUUAAAGGAAAACAGACAGAUGAAAUCUAGUUCUUUUUAUUGAUUUGGUCUUAUCUUUCCACCGCUCUUCCAAUUCUUUAUCCAUUAUCUAUGUUGCUUCUCACAAGUUCCAGUCAAUGUCUGAUAUUUGAAAUUCUAGCUCAUGUCUUCCCUUAUCCUUAUCGUAUGUGUCUUCCGUGGAGAAAAAAAUCCCACCGCUGUACCAGUUCCAUACCCUUCGUAACUAGUUGUACCCAAAAUUUUGUUACCAGGGACACGUCUCCUUCACGUAUUUUCUCCACACGACAGCAGGCACUCGUUCUCACCUCCCCCUCCAUCGCGCGCAGGCGCUGUUCGCUCGCCGUGGAGCUCCCCUGCUGGCGCGCCGGUUCCCUGCUCCGUGGUGCUCGCCGGCGUUUCCUCCAGCAUGUCCCAUGGUUGUCCAGCCCCCACCUCCAUGAUGGCCGAGCUCUCUCUCUCUCCCACGGUCGUCUCCCUCCCCUGCUCGUCCAUGGUGUCCGGUCGCUGCUCGGAUUUUGUCCGUGCCGAGCUCCCUUCGUCACGCCCCUGCUCCUUGUCUCACACGCGUCCCUGCUCCAGUCUUAUCCAUGGUCGCUCCUCUCCUUUCCCUGAUUAAUACUAGGCGCAGCAGCAACAUGCCAGAUCUCUAUAGCCCAGGUGAGACCAACUGCUUGUGUCCUGUUUAUUCCCCACCGAUUCCUAUAUUUGAUUAUUUACUGUAUAUGUUUGUGUGUUUGUGGUGGAGGUAAAUCCUAGGAAAUUUAGAUGAGAAGAAAGCUUUAGCGAGGCGCUUGCCAAGUGCUUGGUGAAUCGCUUCAACCGGAUGCGGUUGUCGAUCUCGCGGAGUCGAGUCGAGUUUAGUCGUGGUAAGUUGAUCCAUUGUUUUCGUUAGUCGGAUGAAUGAUUAGUUGUGUGGAUAUAUAAGGCUUGUGCUAUUAAAUUGAUUUGUGUUGUGUGAAUGAAAUUAUUUUCAUGAGUAUGCAUGUCUUGUAUUAUGAAACUAAUUAGAGAUAUGCAUGGUGCUUGUAGGUGGAUUAUGCCUAAAGUAUUUUGGUAAAGAUAUUUCUCAAGUAUAAAUGAUUUGGUUAUUGUAUAUGAAUUGAGUGAUCAAGUUAAUAAUGUAAAAACAACGUUUAGUACUUAUAGCGCUUUGCCGAUAAGAUUUAUUAGUGAUUGAGUGAAUUUCUAAUGUAUGGUGACAUGAAUGCCUUGUUGUAUUAUGUGGUUUUAGUUCUACUAAAGAUAAAGUGUUGAGUGUUCUAAAUGUUAAAAGCAUGAUAAGUGUAGAAGUUAAAUAAGAUCUAAGUUAGAGUUCUUGCUGUUUGGACUGCAUGUCCAAUUUUAUUACGUGGCUAGUUAAGUAAAGUAAACGUGUUUUCUGUAGAAGUGUUAUAUAUAAAACUUGUAGAUAAUCUUUUUACCUUGCUUGUGCAAAAAUUUCAUGACCAUAGGUUCAGUAGUUUAGGAGUUAUGAUUUUUCCAAGUCCAGUUUCAGAAUCUGUCCAGAUUCUGUACUGAUUUCGAAAAUGACCUUGUUUGUCCAAGUUAAACUGAGAAUCAGCUCUUAGUAAUUAUAGAAGAAUUGUAGUAUUUUUUUAAGCUUUCCAACAAAUUUUGGAGCACCCUUUUUGGUGGUCUAGAGACCAAGUUACAGCUGUUUGAACUGUAGAGUCUGAAUCUGUCCACAUCUGGACAGAGAAGUCUGUUUAUAUUAACUGACUUUGAUAUGUAUUAAAUUAACCUGAGAUGUUUAUAAAUGAAUUGUAGACAAUUCUACUAGCUUUCUAAAAAGUCUAGGAUCACCUGAUUUGGAUGUCUGAGACUCCAGUUAUGAAAUUUUUGAAGUGAGUAGUCGAAUUCUGUACAAAUAUGGACAGAAUUUACGUUUAGCUCUGUUUGACCUUUCUAAGUGUCAAAUCUUGUUCUGAUGAUUAUACCAAAUUUGUAGAGGAUUUUCUUAGGCUUUCCAGAAAGUCAUAGUUCACUAUUUUUGGAUGAAUGUUUUGUGAGUUAUGAGCAAAACCGUGGACUGCUGUGCUGCUGUCCAGGAAUUCUGCAAGUGUGAAAUUAAUUGAUUGAGGUUAUUCUUGUUUGACUAAGUAACUUUAGUUGAUUCUUAAUUAGCAAAGCGAUGGCUUGUGUUAGUAAUUGUCAUUUUCUAUGUUUGUUGAUUGAUUAAAUGUCAUAAAUCAAAAUUGAGCGCUUAAGUUAAUCGCCUUAAAUAAAUGUUCAUCAUUAUUUUAGUCAGUUGGAAGCAAAUAUCAUCGUUGGUCCACUUCAGCAAAUUUACAAAUAUUUUCACAGUGAGUAUUGCACGUUAGUAUCUUAAGUAUGUAGAUUUUAAAUUGUGAUGUUGCAAAAGUCUAUGACCUCUGAUGAUCUUUUACUUGCUAAAUUAAAUGGUAUGAUGUCUAAUUAAUUAAUGCGCUAUACAAGCUAAUCUAAUGAAAUAAUUUAGAAGGCUAGUAAUUUACUUCUAGCUAUAUUCUGAGUGUUUAGUGUUCUAGGCUGGGGAGUAUGAUGUUAUUAAUCUUUUGGAUAUAAUGCACUACCUGAGGAAGUUAAGACUUGUGUAUAACUUAAUAUUUCGUGAUGACUGAUGUUUGCUCCGGAUAACUAAGAGACGUGUGAUUCUUGUACUUAGUAAUUUAUAAAUACCUAGUAUAUGCUUGUUUUUAAAUGUUUACAUUUGUCUUGCCAUAAGUAUUGCAAUCUAUCGAGGUUACGCCUUAGCUGAAUAUUUGUGUUGAGUUAUUGUGCUUGAUGGUUGAGCUGAAAAUAACUCUGAGUGUGUGAUUGUUGUAGAGUCAAAGUUAACUAGUGUUUGCUCAUAGGAAUUGUGGCGCUCUGCCAUAAGUGUUUUGCCCUCUUCAGUGUAGUUUACCUAUCCUGUGUCAUUUAUGCCUAUUCUUAUUCAUAUGCAUUUCACAUUCCAUUAGGUACGUUAACUAAUCGCAUGGUAUGGAGGACAAGAGAUGGAUUGAUCAUAAGACGAUGCUGAUGGACGAAACUAAAGUGGAUGAAUCAACCAAAUGCCAGGAUGGGGGGUGCUCGUCAAGCGAGUAUCAUUUAACAACACUAACGUAGUGUUAUACCAGGCAAGCCCCGGUGCAUUUGCCACCUUCCUUGUGUUUACAAAAUUUUAUCACUUAUAUGCUGCAUUAGGUGAUAGGAGUUGAGUGAUUAAACACUUGAUGCAUUACCAUCCUUGAAAGGUUGAUUACCACACCUUGUCACCCGUUUUAUAAAAGCUAGAGAUGCUUAGUCUUGCUGAUAGAUUAAGAAACAUAUUUUUGAUCUAUGACUCAUGUUUUUACAAAAAAAGAAAAUGGGCUUGGGAUAAUGAAAGCAUCAAGACGUUGAUAAAUUCAUUAUCCAGGCAUGGCCCCUCUGUCAGGCGCCAAAUUUUUGAAAUAGUUUAAAAUGGGACCAGACGUUGAGCAGGAAAGGUCGCCCGUCUGUGUCGAUUAAGGACCGUACCGAUUGUUGGCCUGAUGAUCUAGGACCUUUUAACUGGCCACAUACCUCGUCAUGGGUAAGCCUGAACCCGGCUAUUCCAUACGUGAAAAGACAACCGCGCACUGGGCGUGGGAGAUGGUGGGAGUAGCAGUUACCCUCCUGGCAAGAGGCUGGAUGGUAGGGUAAUGUGCUCCCAGGUAGCACGGACCGGUUCAUGUAGUGGAGGAUCCGUGGGAAUGGUUGACAUAUGCAAGGGUCAAGUGCUACAUAUGUCGUGUGGUUGGAGAUCCCCAGCUGGGUAUUAAUCGAUUCGGAUCGCCGUUACUUCUCGGAUAUGAAGACUGGAUCGCUGCCCUUCAUCGUAGAUAACAAGCGAAACAAAAAUUUGAUUUUAAAAGAAAGUUAGUGUAGGAUAAGUGAAUGCUCUAGAUUAGGUAAAUCUAGAUUCAGGAAAAGUAUUUAACUUGUGAUGUAAAACUUUGGCAUAAGGAUCCACUACUAGUAAGCUUUUCUGCAAAAAUGAGUCUUUGAAAUUUGAUAAGCUUUACCUUGAUUCCCGACAAACCAACAUAUCCUUGAGAGUCUUUUCUUUAGUCGGGUAAGUCUUGCUGAGUAAUUCCAUACUCAGGGUUUUAUUCCCUGUUGUUUUCAGGUUGUAAUUUUGUUCUGUUGUGGAUGGUGCUAAGUGCCGGUGGGCUCGGCCUUCUUAUAUAAGUAUAUCCCUUCUAUAGUUUCUUUAAUGAGGAUUGUCACUUAAGCUAGCAUGUAUUUUCAAAUUUACGAAUACUUUAUAACAUUUCAAAUUGUAAUUCUUUUGAAUCACUUUCUUUUGUAAUCUUUUGUAAUCACUCCGAUGAGGUAUAAUAAUAUCUUGAUAAACUUGUAAUCAUUUUGUAAUAAAGAAUUUAUUUCUGCUGCAAGUGUUUGUAUGUGAGUUGUGUUUAUUUAAUCCUGCGAUCUUGGCGGUAAGUGGUUUAUCCGGGGUCCUUGGGACACUCGGACAGAUCCUGUUAAGUUGUUUGGUGCACAUGCAUACCCGUUUGAGGUCCUUGGGACA
RNAcentral lists this long non-coding RNA (9224 nucleotides) under Zea mays. RNAcentral describes it as "long non-coding RNA (ZMAY_LNC000488)". The record is from RNAcentral. Lineage: Eukaryota; Viridiplantae; Streptophyta; Magnoliopsida; Poales; Poaceae.